This 253-nucleotide ribosomal RNA is filed under the name uncultured bacterium. RNAcentral's name for it is "partial 16S ribosomal RNA". It matches the Rfam family "Bacterial small subunit ribosomal RNA", at positions 524 to 776 of the family's 1533-position model. The record is from RNAcentral.
UACGUAGGGGGCAAGCGUUGUCCGGAAUUAUUGGGCGUAAAGGGCUCGUAGGCGGCCAACUAAGUCAGACGUGAAAUCCCUCGGCUUAACCGGGGAACCGCGUCUGAUACUGGAUGGCUUGAGGUUGGGAGAGGGAUGCGGAAUUCCAGGUGUAGCGGUGAAAUGCGUAGAUAUCUGGAGGAACACCGGUGGCGAAGGCGGCAUCCUGGACCAAUUCUGACGCUGAGGAGCGAAAGCCAGGGGAGCAAACGGG